AUCUACGGAUUGCGUCAUGUUUGUAUACGUAAGUUCUAAAUUAAAAUUCACUUGCUGUAUGAAAUUGGCGACGAUCGUGCGC
Molecule: non-coding RNA, 82 nt
Organism: Bombyx mori (domestic silkworm)
Lineage: Eukaryota; Metazoa; Arthropoda; Insecta; Lepidoptera; Bombycidae
Source: RefSeq, marked provisional